Long non-coding RNA from Mauremys mutica (yellowpond turtle), 683 nucleotides. RefSeq lists it as uncharacterized. The transcript is spliced from 5 exons. The record is from RefSeq and is a predicted model, not a curated record. NCBI's taxonomy places the organism in Eukaryota, Metazoa, Chordata, Testudines, Geoemydidae.
UAGCAUUCGAAGCAAGUAGCUCUUUUUUCAAAAAGAGAUUAAUCUGAAGGAGAUCAGAACCAAGAUGGCAGGUCUUUCAAUACAUCUUAAAGAGAAGCUGCAAACAUCAUUCAUUUCAUCAUUUUAUUUGUCUGCUUCAAGACUGGGAAAAAAACAACAACUCAGUUUGCAUCUCUCUCCCACCACCAGUCACUAUGUGACCUUGGACCUGUCACUUAACCACUCCAUGCCUCAGUACGGCAACUUGUAAGAUGAGGAAGCUGAUAGCAGAGAAAGCUUUGAAUAAAUUACCCAGUGCCACAGUUAGUGACAGAGCCAGGAAUAGAAUCCAUAGUUCCUGACUCACAGUCCUGGACUUUAACUGCUCAACACAGCAUCAGCAUGCAGCUGUUACAUUUGCUGAACGUUCCAAAUUCAAAUUGGGGGCAAAACAGUGAAUUUCCUGAGGUUAUUUAUAGUAAACCAAGGAUGGCAUGUGUGGUUCUACAAAGAUAGAGAAUCGGCACAUUUGGAGAGCUGUUUGAAGGACAGGAUUGAAGACAGAAUGCAUUAAUGCUGAUUUGAAAUCAGCUAACAAUUAUGGGUGAAAACUUCCAAUCCAUUUUGCCUCCUCGUCUGAUUAUUGCUUGAGAGGCCUCAACAUUUUAUGACUCAUUAUUUACUCUGUUAUAUAACACAUCACC